Long non-coding RNA from Thalassophryne amazonica, 152 nucleotides. RefSeq lists it as uncharacterized. NCBI's taxonomy places the organism in Eukaryota, Metazoa, Chordata, Actinopteri, Batrachoidiformes, Batrachoididae. The record is from RefSeq and is a predicted model, not a curated record. The transcript has 3 exons.
UGUGUGUGAUGUCUGUACAGUGGAAGGAAGACAAGGAGACUUGGUGGUGGAAUGAAGAGGUCCAGGAAAUGAUAAGUAGAAAGAGGUUGGCGAAAAAGUUUUGGGAUAGUCGGAGAGAUGAUGAAAGUAGACGGCAGUACAAGGAGAUAUGG